GACGAACGCUGGCGGCGUGCUUAACACAUGCAAGUCGAACGGAAAGGCCCUGCUUUUGUGGGGUGCUCGAGUGGCGAACGGGUGAGUAACACGUGAGUAACCUGCCCUUGACUUUGGGAUAACUUCAGGAAACUGGGGCUAAUACCGGAUAGGAGCUCCUGCUGCAUGGUGGGGGUUGGAAAGUUUCGGCGGUUGGGGAUGGACUCGCGGCUUAUCAGCUUGUUGGUGGGGUAGUGGCUUACCAAGGCUUUGACGGGUAGCCGGCCUGAGAGGGUGACCGGCCACAUUGGGACUGAGAUACGGCCCAGACGCCUACGGGAGGCAGCAGUGGGGAAUAUUGCACAAUGGGCGGAAGCCUGAUGCAGCAACGCCGCGUGCGGGAUGACGGCCUUCGGGUUGUAAACCGCUUUCGCCGAUGACGAAGCGUGAGUGACGGUAAUGGGUAAGGAAGCACCGGCUAACUACGUG
Molecule: ribosomal RNA, 468 nt
Filed under: uncultured bacterium
Lineage: Bacteria
Description: partial 16S ribosomal RNA
Rfam family: Bacterial small subunit ribosomal RNA
Source: RNAcentral